RNAcentral lists this small nucleolar RNA (150 nucleotides) under Procavia capensis (Cape rock hyrax). Lineage: Eukaryota; Metazoa; Chordata; Mammalia; Hyracoidea; Procaviidae. The record is from RNAcentral.
GGUGCACACCAUUAAAGCUCAGGGUGCGGCCGGUCUUGGCCAGUGCCCCACUGGGUGUCGGAGGUGUGCGACAGCAGCUGCAGGGAUUUCGCUACUACCAGGAGAGCUUGACUCUGUGACUGGGGCUUGAUAGUGUCCGCUGCCACAGGC